GACGAACGCUGGCGGCGUGCUCAACACAUGCAAGUCGAACGGAAAGGCCCUGCUUUUGUGGGGUGCUCGAGUGGCGAACGGGUGAGUAACACGUGAGUAACCUGCCCUUGACUUUGGGAUAACUUCAGGAAACUGGGGCUAAUACCGGAUAGGAGCUCCUGCUGCAUGGUGGGGGUUGGAAAGUUUCGGCGGUUGGGGAUGGACUCGCGGCUUAUCGGCUUGUUGGUGGGGUAGUGGCUUACCAAGGCUUUGACGGGUAGCCGGCCUGAGAGGGUGACCGGCCACAUUGGGACUGAGAUACGGCCCAGACUCCUACGGGAGGCAGCAGUGGGGAAUAUUGCACAAUGGGCGGAAGCCUGAUGCAGCAACGCCGCGUGCGGGAUGACGGCCUUCGGGUUGUAAACCGCUUUCGCCUGUGACGAAGCGUGAGUGACGGUAAUGGGUAAAGAAGCACCGGCUAACUACGUG
RNAcentral lists this ribosomal RNA (468 nucleotides) under uncultured bacterium. RNAcentral's name for it is "partial 16S ribosomal RNA". It matches the Rfam family "Bacterial small subunit ribosomal RNA", at positions 28 to 507 of the family's 1533-position model. The record is from RNAcentral.